CUGGGGUGCGGGAGGAGGUGGGAGGGUGAGGCUGUGGCCAGCAGGAGCCAGGCCUCAGGGUGCCAGCCUGGACCAGGAGCAUGUGCUGGGGGCUUGCUUUCCGCAAUCAGGCACUUUUUCAAGUUGGUCCUGAACGGUUCUGGACUGGAUGGCAGGCUGCUGUGUGUGAUUGAGAAUGUUGCCUGUCUGAGCCCUGAGAUGAGCUGAGGGUUCCUCCUCCCCAGCCAGCACCAGCCUCACACAGCCCUUGUAAAUCUGAAAGUGCUGUUGGUAGCAACCAGGGAUGGGCAGAGGCAGCCCUGUCCUGAGGGUGACAUGAAAGUGAGAGCAAGCUGAAGCUCCAGUUGGCUUAGUCUUCAAAAGUGUCACUUUCAGAUUAUAUCCCUCAGCUUUAAAAUAUCCUUCUUUGAAGUCCAUCCUGCUCUGCCCACUAUUUGUCCCCGGUGGUCACUUCCUCCUCUGUGCUCCCGUGGCCUGGGAUUCACACCAGGAAAGAACGCCACGAAGAAGGAAUGACAAGAAAAUGGAGGCAAAGAACAUUGGAGUCACUCCCUGGCUACACACACUGAGGUGAUAACCAAGGCAAGACUUGAACACCACUCUCUUUCUGAUUGCAAACCUGAACAAAGAAGAAAUAAGAGGAGGAGGAGAGCAAGAGAUAGAGGCAAGGAGCUGUACUGGAAAUCUACAAUAACUCAUGGAGGGAGGAAAUGUCUUACAGAAGAGGCAUUAGAUUGAACAUCCCGUGGUGUUUUCUCCCCCUCGGUUUCUGGAAAACCAUAUACUUUCAUUUAUAAACUCUAUGCCCAGAUCCCAAAGUAGGAAUCAAGAGCUCCUUUGAGGACAUGCAACCCUUCUCAGAAGUGACUCACAUAACAGGAUGAGGUGCUCAAAAAGGGCCGGUGUGCCGCAGUGAGUGCCAGUUUGAAUGAAGGAAGCAUGCGUGGCCUGAAGCCUCACCGUGUUCCAGGCGUCCAGUUAAGUGCUCUGCACAUAAUAUCACACAUUGCGCUCCACGAUAAGAACAAAUUCUCACAUGGGAACCGAGCAAAGUGUAAUGGAUGUUCCCAGGAGCUGCCUAUGGGAUUCAAGAAAACUGUAUGAGAGGAGUAACAUUUGGGCUGGAAGCGAAAAUACAAGUAAACAUAUGUCAAAUGGGCUUGCCAGGAAACUGCUACAAUUUUCAAGAGCGCCUUUGAAAGCUCCCACCAACUGCCGCAGUCUGCAUCAGCCAGGCAUGUGUACCCACACAGCCCGCCCAGCACCCUGUGUGAAGCCCAUCUCCACUUCCAGGUCUGGCUGUGUCCAGCUCUAGAGAGCUGUGGAGUCAGCGCCACUUCUGCUUCAAGAUCCAUGAUGAGUGCCAUCUCUGGACAUCCCUCAAGCCUUCAGUCUGUAGACCCUGCAGAGAGAACUUGCAGAUAUUGUAAUGUCUGUGUUCCUACACUUCAAAUGUGAGCUUGUGGGGUGUCAUCUUGGAGAUUUUCGUGUUGGAAAUCUUCCACUCAAACACAUGUGCUUCAGGAGAAACACGAAGUGUGAAAAUGUUAAGUUCCAAGAAAGCACAGACGUGCGUCUAAUGAAUAGAUUUGGAAAUGAUGGGUAGACACGGACAAGGAUCUCAUCUACUGCAUUUGCUAAAUAAUCAGACCUGAUCUUAACAUUUUAGCUCGUUCUACUCGUGGUUGUCCAUGUGGCAAGGAGUCAUGAAGUAAUAACAUAUCCUCUGUAGUCGGUGCCUAUGAAGGGGUGACAGACAUCUGCAUGUACAGGAUAUGCUGUGAAUUUAAUGAGUUUUGUCUUGUGUCCUAUAUUGACUUUAUCAGGAAGCCCUAAAUGUCCCAGACUCAGCCUUUACCAAUACAUUACAACAACUGGCACAUAGAGCUAUUUUUCUGCCACGGUAAUUGGUGCUUCAGUCAUUAACCUAGCUGACAAUCAUACCUCUACACACAAAAAUCUGGACAACCUCUUCUGGUCUUUCCCAUAGGGUCAGCUGAGGGAAGACCAAAAGAGGGGACUGAGAAGAAUUAAAAGUACAUCUUUUCACCCUCAAGAAAGGAAAAGAUCACUCUCUGGCCUGAGUCCCAAGGAGUGAACAAGUGCCCAGCGUUAAUGAGAGAUAACUUCGCAUCAGUGCACAUGCUCUGAAAAUCAGCCAAUCCCUGAUAGCCUCACUUGUGUUGUGCUUCUGAAAAGGAGCCAGUCAGCAACAGCCUCGCUCCAGUAACUACGCUUCUGAAGAUCAGCCAACCGAUGACAGCUCCAGCUCCUGAAAGUCAGCCUGUCAGUGACAGCCCCUCACUUACAGACAACAGCCAAUCUGCCGGUCUUCACCCCGGUGACAGUGCUUCUGAAAGUCAGCUAACUCCAGUGACCAGGGGCACAGCUGACGUGCUGAGUCCCCCACACUCUCACCUCUGGAACCCACCAGCCUCUCCAGGAUGGGCUUCUUCAAACCUCAUCCAAGAUCAGCUCAGGCUUGAUUUGGGAGAGACCGUUCCUCCCUUACAAUUUCAACUCUUCCUUGGAGGAAAAUGAGAAGUUUUCCUCCAUAACAGAUAUUGAGUGUAAUUCAUCAUUAGCUUACAUAUUUGCAACCAUUGUGACAGUUCAUUCAGCCCCUAUUCACAGUUCAGACUUGCCAAAGAUGGACAUUAAGAUGCUCAAAUUUAAUCUUUUCCAUUUUUGUGACGGUUGCUAUUAUCCAUUUUUAUUUGUGUACUUUUGAGUGCCCAAAAUGUUAAAAGGCAAAUGUGAAUAUCACGAUAAAUUUUAUGAGCAGUAGACAUUUACCAAACAAGUGUAUGUCUUUUUGAAGCUCUUUGUGUAGUAUGCAAUUGUGCAUUCAAUACGAAAAAUGGUGGAAAGUAAGAUAUAAGUCAGCAAAUACUAAUAGCUAAGCAUGGGAGAUGCAUGAUAUCCUUUAUCAGUGCCAUAGAAAAUAAUAAUACAUUUUUUUGUGUAAGAGAAAUUCAAAUGAAACUGAUAUAUGAGUGGCAGCAGAUCUUGUGAUGGCCUUCCACAUUGUCUGUCAGUCAUCCAUCUUUCAGCUUAAACCACUCUGUGUCCUUCUACCAUUCAGAAGCACUGUCUAAUUCCAAAUUUGCAAAUUUGCAAAUAAAUUUUUUAAGUGCCAGGUGAAAAUUUACUUGCAUAAUUUAAAAAUGUAAUAGUUCCACUAACUAUUAUAGAGAUUAUCAAAGAUAUAAAUGCCCCACCUUUUAUGGCAACUGCAGGUACAAGUAAUCAAAACGCAGAUCAAAUUUCCCUUUGCUUUUGUAAUAUUUUUUUUCUCAUGUGAAGACCCUUCCAAAGGCGAUUUCAGAAACAAAAGCAAAUUUUAGGAAACUCAUAUGUAGGGUUGAAGAAGAUGAUAAAAUCUGAUGACAACAUGGUUUGUUUGUUUGUUUGUUUGCUUGUUUGUUUUGGCCAGAAAAUAAUAUUUCAAGAAGCUGAUCAGGAAAUUCAAUAUAAUCCUGAAGUGUGGAAAAAAUAAGUUAUACCAUGAAACAUGGUUUGUACUUGAACAAAUCAAAUUUGAAGAGCAAUUCUCAGAGUGCCAAUGUUUAGUCAAUAAACUUGUCUGUAAUGCUAAUAUUGAGCAUAAUUUUCAAUUAACAAAGAACAGAAUAAGUUAGAUGUGCAGAAGCUAUGUUUUGAGGUAAAGAAACAGAGACUUUAACUGUAAGGAAUUGUGUAAGGAAGUUCUGUAAAGCAAGGAACUAUUAAGAAGAGCCAAAUCACAUGUAAUAAAUAUAGUUAAACAAGUAUAAAACAUAAUUAUUUCAGAUUAGCCACAAUUAAUGUUUUAGUAGUCAUAUGUCUCAUGCAACAGUUUCUUUUAUUUCAGUGUACAUAUGUACAGGCAAUUAGAAAUAACUCAAAUUUAACUGGGUGUUCUAUAUUUUUAUUUGCUAACUCUGGCAACUCUACCUCACUGAUACUUAAGGCCUAUAAAUGUUACUGAUAUAAAGGACAAGUUAUCUGAUUUCUUUUCUCUAUUAGCCAUGAAAGAACAUGUCAUACUGCUUCUGACAACCCAAUUCAGUGCAAAACAUGCACUUUAAUGGCUAGAGAAGUGGAGAGGAGGGAUGGUUGAUUCUUUUGAAUUCUAAGCUUUCCUGGUAAUGAACGAGUUGACUGGGAGGAAGUUAGUUCUCCUUUCCAAGUUUAGAAAUACUACAGUGAAAACAACGUAUUUUUAAUACUUCACUGCUUAAAACAACAACCACAAAAAAUGGCUGUCUGAGCUGUAUGGGAAAAGGAAGGAAAGAAGGAAGGAAGGAAGGAAGGAAGGGAGGGAGGGAAGGAGGGAGAGAAGAGAGGGAAAAGAGGCAGCAAAGCUCUGCCUUCUCAGAUCUCAUAUCAAGUUUUUUGUUUGUGUCUUUCUUUUAUGUUAUUAAUUUCAAAUACGUAAAGUUACUUAAACUGACAUAAGAAACCAUACUCUAGUAGAUGUAACCAGGUUAAUAAUUAAAUCAGAGUAAUUUUAGUAAAAUACAUCAUUUUUAGUUAUGAGUAUUGAAAUGCACUUCAAGCUGCCCAUUAAAAUAUAAUAUGCUCUUAUAGGAUUUCAAAUGUUUUUCAAUCAAUAUAGUUCUAAUAAGUGGGUCUGAAACAAUUGUAAAUUUCAGCCAGCCCACUUUAAUAUUGGUUCUGGUAUCAUACUUUCUUACAUAGAGAAGUCCCAACUGAUGAUUCUAAAAUCAUAGACUAUAUUUUAUCUUUGGUACCAAUAAGCAUUUUUUCUUGCCAUAUGAAUAUAUUCAUUAUCUGAUAAUGAUGCUAAUUUUUGUUUUUAUUUGUUGUGGAGGAAUGUCAAAUUAAUGAACCGGUUACCCUUCUCAAAGACUCUCAACACAUGUUCCUUACAAUUGUCAAAGUCAGAAAAGGUUCUUUAGAUGUCACAUGCAAACACUUCCUAGAUUUCUUUUGUGUAUGUGAGAUUAUCCCCUUGCUUUAACCUGCCCGUCAUCUUUGAUGACAUUGAGCAUGAGCUGUUUUCCCUGGAUAGAGUAGUUUUCUGUUUAUCUUGUAGAGCUUAGGUCUCUAUUGGGACCACUAAGGACUUAUAAUGGCCUGGCUUUCAGGCACAGAGGGACAGACUAAAACAUAAUUCUGUCAGAUAAAAACAAAUCCGCAUUUAGGUAAGAAAAGAUAUUUUUCAGAAGGAUUUUUGCAAUAAGCGGGGAAGAGACUACUGCUGUAGAGAGAAUGCUCCAACCAUAAUAUCUACAAGUCAGAAAUGAAUUUUCUUUUAUAGCGGGAUGUAAGUAAGGCUAGAAAGAAACAGGUACAGGGGAUAGGUGUGAGCAGGUGGCGUGGUGGUUCCAGCGCUUGGGGAUGGACCAAAUUUAGGGUCCUGUAGGGGAGGAGGGAAGCUUAAAUAGUUUGAUUAAGGCAAGUUAGCAGGUGUCUUGUCCAGAUUGGUCAAUGGGUACAAAUAAUUCAGUUAAUCAUUUAUGGGGCAAUGAAUGGAAUUUGGAGGGUCUAUGUCUGGCUGUGUCAUAAGCAAAUAAAUAGGCACCUAUGAGUCUUCUCUAAGUCACAGGAGGAGAAGUGCUUCUUUGCAAAAAGCCUUUCCCAGAAGACAAAACGUGAGGAGAUUUCUUUACUCUUUCCUGUUUUCUAGUAUCACAGGGCUUGGGUAAAUCGUCAAUCUCAUCUUGCAGUAAAAUAACUAAGUAAUAAUUAACCAACUAAUCUAUACAUCCAUGUGAGCUAGAAUGCAGAAAUAUAAUGUACUUCCUGUAAAAAUGAAGCUAAGCUAUUUCAUGUCCAAGCCUUAGCAUACUGACUUGCAGUAAGCUCUAACCUCACUCCCUGGCCCUCCAAGCACACUCUGCACUCUGGCUACAUGGACACAAUCAUAAGACCUUUCUCUACCUCAGGAUUUGUCUUCAUCCUGUUCUCCAUGAACAGCCCUCUCCUAUUUCUCUGACUAUCCAAAUUCCACCCAUUCUUCAAUAUCCAGCUCAAAUGCCACUUUUCCCCCUAAAUUUUCUUGGUAGCUCAUUUUCUCCCUCCUUCCUCAAUCAGACCAUCUAGCACACUUUUGUAUUGAGCACCUACCAUGUAGAGGGGCCAAUGCUAGUUGGGCUUUCUUUUUAUGCUCAUUGUUUUACUCGUCAUUUGAGUAUUACUCACAGUUCAUGGUUUAUGAUUCAACUUUUGUUGUCACAUAACCAGUGGCAUGCUGGUUAAUGUUUAGUAAUAGCCUCUGUGGGGCGUGUGUGUGUGUGUGUGUGUGUGUGUGUGUGUGUGUGUGUGUGUCUUCUGAUUUGUAGCAUUUUCUAAUUUCAGUGGUGUAAGCUACUCUAAAUUUGGAAAGGAAUACGUAGAAUUGGUUCUCAGGAGCCUGUAUGAGCCAGCCCCAGCAUACCACUAUACUUGACUGUGUAAACGAUGUUUAAAUAAGAAUGUGAAUGCCUUGUUUACCUCACCAGAUGACAAGACUCUGUAGGACAGGUAGUAGUUUACCAACUAACAAUAGUAAUAAGGACACUACUAUUUACUGCAUGGAUAUUCAUUGAGUAAAUGAAUGAAAAAAUAAGUGAAUUGAAACAUGUUCAAUAUAAUGUAUAAUUGAUCAUGUUUUCCCCAGUGGCUUGCUGAGAGUCUUGCAUUCCAUAGGUACUGAAGAAUAUCUGCUCAUUUGCUGAAUGAGGCACUGCUUUUAUGGGGUUAAUUUCUGUUCACUGGCUUUAGGCUUCAUCAUGAAAUACAUAUGUAGCAUGAUUCUGUUAAAGCAGAUAGGUAGCAUCUGGAUCCACUCCCUUGCCCUUCCGUCUUUCUUGUAGAGGCUACCUGUGUUUGAUGUCCUCCAUUUUAGCCACUUGCUUCAGGAGAGUGCCCAGUCUCAUGUGUGUCGUGAUUGGUUCAAGCCCAUCACAGUAAAUGUUUUGCCCUCACUGCUGAUUGAUUGGCUGAGGCAUGCCCAUAUGCUGGCAAUAUGGCCAAUGACACUGACAGAAUGCAAGCCAGGGGGCUUGUGGGAAUUUUCUCUCAUUUCUCUCAUUUAAAAAUUGAAGUCAAGGAGAGAAUUUGCCUCCUCUGACUUUAUUUGCUGUAUAGGGAUGUGUGCUGCAGGGGUCCGUCCUGUGAUCACAAAGGAAGGGAGCUUGAGGACAAAAAUCAGCACAUUAAGUAUGGGGAGCAGACAGGAGGAAUGAACCUGAGUUCUUGGCAAUGCAGUUGAGCAGGAGAAUGGACUAGCCAAGGAAUUCUCCUGUCCCUGAGUAUCUUAUGCAGAUAAUGAAUGCUUUUAUUGCUCAAGUCACUUUUACCUACAAUGUAUCCUGGACAUAUUAGUAUUGCUAUGAUGAUGAUGAUGAUGAUGAUGAUGAUGAACACCAUUGUUAUUAUUUUGUUAAAAGCUGGCCUUGUUGCCUUAUUAGGAGCAAGGAAUGCAGACAGAUGCUUGAGUAGGUGAGAGCUGGUAGUGCAUCCUCAACAUGGUUUACAAGUGAGGUGGGAGUAUUACUGACUGAUAGUUGGAUUUGAAAUGGACUGUCUCAGCAUUGUAGAAUGGAGUCCUAAGUGCAGAAUCUUCAGGGCUGUAUUUGACAUUUUUAACUAAGCAGUCUGAUUAAGAGAGAGAGCAGAUAUGCAGAUAUGCAAACAGGAAGGCAGAGCUGCCCCUUAUAAAAUUCUGCCCUGGUGAUAUCAAGUCCAGAGCAAUUUGAGAAACAGAUGAAGAACACAAUCGUAAGAUAUCUAGUAAGUCUGCUCUUGGAGGGUUAUGCACCAGAAGGUAAGAUAUAUUCCACUAGUGUAAUGCCAAGUGUAAGAAUAUUUCUGUACCCAAAUCAGCAUGCCCACUGUAUUACUCAGAAUUCUCUAGAGGGACAGAACUAAUAGGAUAGGUAGAUAGACAGAUAGAUAGAUAGAUAGAUAGAUAGAUAGAUAGAUAGAUAACAGAUAGAUAGAUAGAUAGAUAGAUAGAUAGAUAGAUAGAUAGAGCAUAAUAAGUAUUAACUCACAAGAUCCCACAAUAGGCCAUCUGCAAGCUGAAGAGCAAGGAGAGCCAGUCCGAGUCCCAAAACUGAAGAACCUGGAGUCCGAUGUUCAAGAGCAGGAAGCAUCCAGCAGGGGAGAAUGAUGUAGGCUAGGGCCACAAACCCCCUAACUGUCACCAGAAUUGGUGGGUGGAGAAGUAGUAAGGACUUCUUUUGCACAGUCAAAUCAUGGAUAUAGGAACAGAGACUCAAAUCAUCCAUCCUUUGUAAAGUCACCUUGCAUUUCUGUCCCACCAUUUCAAGCACAGAUUUAGCACCAUCAUUUGUGGCAGCUUCUGGUUUCUAGAUCAGUAUUGUAAAAUUACAGGUUAUCCAGGAACGUAAAAGAUAUAUUUUUUAAAAGUUGUAAAAGAGCUUACCACUCCUAUUUAAAGUCAAUUAACUUUAUCUAGAGAUCUUUAUGAGCCAGACCAGGAACAAUUAGGAAAUGAAAGAUUUAAAUAAGAUGAAGGUAGUUGUUCAUUCCUGCUCAUAUCUUCCAAAUAUUUCAGCAUUUCUGGGAUUGUUUUUAAAAGAAAUUUUUUUGAGAGUUGGUUUUUAGGGGAAUGUUUUAAACAUUGCUUCUCAUGUUAUCAUUCUCCUGAUGCAGUCUGCCAGGAUGUUCCAUUCAGCUGCCACAAUCUGCUCAUCCCUGUCUUAUAAAGGAAAACUAUUCUCAAAUGAAAAUCUCUCUCUCUUUUUUGCACCAGUAUAUUUCACAAAAGAAUAAAGGUGUCAAAUUUCAGAAUUUUUAAAAAUUUUAAAAUAUGGGCAUUUCCUGAAACCUGUCUUUAGAUGAUCACAUUCAAGGUGUUCACUUACGUAUUUGCUACUCUUUCUUGGGUAUCACUGAGCUUCACCAUAUACUGUUUAUUAAUUCUGUGUAUUAAUUAUUUAGAGAUACAGGGCAUUCACUGAAUGCCUAGCAAAGGUAAUAUCUAAAUACCAGGAGCUGAGAUCUACAGAACAUAUAUUCCCUGUCUCAUAUAACUCAGGGUCAAGCGGGAAAAUAUGUAUUUUGUUUAUUCUCAUCAGAAAAUGAGUCCAGUGAGACAGAAAUUCAGAAGAGCAGUUUAGCACCAGAGCAUGCAAAAACACAACCUUCUCCCACCUCAAUGCUCGCCAAGACUAAGCAAAAGGGGUUUUUGAAACAUAUAUGGAUUUGAACCCUUCUGCAACUUAUUAGGCAGCCACAUCCUUAUAGUCACGUAUUUGAUUUCUUGCAGCCCAGGAUUCUGCAACCGUAAUUUAGCCACCUUGCUGUAUUGUUAUAAGAGAUAAGAGAGACGUCACACAGCAGUUACCAUCUUAGGUGAUCAAUACAUAUCAGUGGCCUUUCUCUUCCCAUCUUCUCCGAGAACUCCAAGCCUGUCUCUGUAUGCUAUUUUAUCCUUUUCAUACUUCUAAUUUGGCCUAUCAGUACAAUAAUUUUGUCAUGGUAUUAAGUGGGUAAAUAACUUCAAAAUAUUGAUAAUCAAAAUGGGGAGCAAGAAAUAUAUCAAUGGAAUAUUUAAGCAAUUCAAUAGGGUAUAAUUUAAUGUCAGUGUGCAUUCAUAUGACUAAAAGAACUGUAGGAUGCCGUGUUUUUUCUACCAUUAGCAAGUUUUGAUCUUCUUGAGAACAGAGUACAGGCACAGGAGAUGUCUCCACCCAUGAAAAUAUCUUCAUUUAUUCAUUUGUCCAUUCAACACACACUCACAGAAAGCUUAUUUUGAUAUAUUUAAAAAUAUGUUAUGAAACUUUACUGGUCUAGAUAUAUUUGAUAAGUGCUUGAAAAGAGAAGGAGCAGUGAAUCCUCCCAUUCCCCCUUUGAGAGGGAGGUGCUAGAUUUAUCCUUCUUGAGCUAAAUCCCUCCACCUCCCCUUAAAGAGGAAGGUGCUAGAUUUAUCCUUGUUGGGCCAAAUACACCAGGGCUCAGCUGGCACAGCUGCUGCACCCUCCACUCCAUGUAGUCUGAGCAGGGAGAAGCUGAUGGAUAUUGAAGAGGCAGAACGUGGUAGCCUUGGCUGUGAUAUGGAGCUUCCCCUGGGCUAUGCGGAUGCUGAAGAAAGUAGCCAAACUUGGGAUGCUUUGACGAGACCAAGACCAAGAGAGCAGCCAGCAUCACAAGGCUGUGGGGUGGAGUUGCAGGUGCAGGAGCUGGCAAUGAGAGGGAGGGCACCAAAAGGGGGUUGACAAGCUCACCAUGUGUUUCUGGGAAGCAUGUAGUAUUCAUGUUGCCCAUGGCUUCUGAAAAACUUGUACAUCUGCCUCCAAGUAAAACUCCAGUAUUGGAAUGUCAGUCACAAGAAGGACUUCAGUGAACAUCUCAUAACAAAAGCAAUCCAGUUAAGACUUCUGUAUGUUUUCUUAGGUCAUCUUCUACUUUACUCUGUCCUGUGUGGUGUUAGUCUCAGGAGUAAGAGCAGGUAACUAAACCAGACAAGAACAUGAAUAUCACAGCACUAUUCACAAUAGCAAGGACAUGGAAUCAAUCUAGAUGCUCAUCAAUGGUGGACUGGAUAAAGAAAAUAUGGUACAAAUACACCAUGGAACACUAUGCAGCCACGAAAGAGAAUAUCAUGCCCUUUGCAGCAACAUGGAUGGAGCCGGAGGACAUUAUUCUAAGUGAACUAAUGAGGAAAGAGAAAAUUAAAUUGCCAUGUGAUCUCACUUAUAUGUGGGAGCUGUACAUUGAGCACCCGUGGAAGGAAAUGACAGACACCAGGACCUAAUUAAGGAUGGAAGUUGGGAAGAGAGUGAGGAUAGAAAAACUACCAUCAGGUACCAUGCUUAUUACCUGGGUGAUGAAAUAAUCUGUACACCCAACCCCCACAGCACGUAAUUUAUCUGUAGAACACAUUCUGCACAUUUACCCCUGGAAUUAAAAUAAAAGUUAAAAAAAAAAAAAGAAAAAAAAGAGCAGACCAAAUCCCCUUCUGCACUGAAGGCCCUCUAGCUAUGGGUCGGGCCUGAACUGGGAAUGGGGUGAAAAUUUGAAUCAGGUGAAAUGGACUUUUCUAAGCCUUAAAGUAAGUCCUAAUUACCAAAUUAGAAGAUCAUAGAAGAGACUGGCCAGAAGAUAGUGUAAACAUGAACAGGAAGGGUACUGCUCCAAAGCGUGUUUGAAAGCAGUAAUUGGAGGAAAAAUAAAGCUCUUUUCCUAUUGCACCCAACCAAGUUCCAGCCCCCUCCAUACACUGCUUAGACAGCAGUGAACUCUGAACAUUCAUCACAUGGGGCCCGAUCUGCAGAUGCUACUGGAUGGGGCCUGAUCAAGAGUAAGAAAAGUCAUGCUCCCAACUCAGUUCACACUUUCACUACCUGUAUAGUCCUGGACCAGUCUUUGAAAAUCUCUGACUGGAAUGCAAAGCUCAUCGCUUUCUUCAAAGAUAAUCAGACUUGUAUUAUUUUUCUACUUUACUUUAGCCCAGACUUGAACUCGCACAAAUUGAGUAAUGAGAGCCUACUUAAUUGAAUAUACACUUAUUAUUAAAAAGAUGAAGAGAAUAGGAAAAACCAACCGUACCUCCUCGCUCCUUCCAUUCACUAUACUCAUGGAGCCUUAGAUGCCUCUUGAAGGUGCUUUGGGGGCUAUGAACUGAUAUCUGUAAUUCAAGGGACCCAUUCCCUCCAGGUAGUGACCAUAAAUAUGGAUCCAUUAAUACUCAUUGAUGUGCAAGUAAAGAAUAUCUCAGGGAAUAGCUUGGACCCAGAGGUGGCAGAAAUCUGGGAUGAGACUGAUAAAAUCACUAAUUGUAUGACCCUACAACAUGGGCCUUCACUCAACUCUUUUGGAUGAGGGGCUCCGGGAAUACCAAUUACAUAUUAUAGCUUUAGGCUCUAGAAGCAAAAAAUCUAGGUUAGUAGUAAUGUAUUUUUAAAUAAUUCACAAACAUACUUUAUAAAGGAGUAAAAUGGAGGGUAAAAAUAUUCCUGGUAAUAAAACACUGAGAAAAAUACUUUUCCAUUUUAUUAUCAUAAGCAUAGUAACUACUAUGUACAAAACAAACAUAGACCUUGCACUUUGCAAGCCUGAUUUCACUUCACAAGUAUUAUGCCCAGGAAGAAGACUCUAAAAUUUAGUGUCCUUUAGUUAGUCAGUGGUAAAGACUGGAUUCUGUCCCAACUAUGGCUGUUUCCAAAGUGAAUGCUCUUAACUGCUGGGUUAUACUGCCCUUCCUUCACGUUUGAGUGGAGUUUGGGACAAGACUUCUCCAAUUAAACCUCAGAAUGAUGCCUUGUCAUUAUUUCUCAGAACAGUUUGACUUCAAUUGACAAACAUUCAUUGGACACUUACUAUUUUAAUAAUUCACCAUCCCUUGCAAUCCAUUUCCUUAGUAAGAAAAAGUAUUGGAACUCCUUUUUAUCCACUGAAAGAAUGUUGGCUCCUGGUGGCUAGAGUUGCACAUCAUCUGUAUUGGGAAUAAUUGCAAAAAAAGAGGGACGAAGACGUCAUCAAGAGAAAAAACAAACAGAAUGGAGGACAUUAAAAAACGUGAUUUGUGCAAUGAGGUCUUGAGAGAGAGAAGGAAGGAAAGAUGGAGUGAUGGCAGCCUAGAUGUGGCACUGCAUGGCUGGGUUCCUCAGAGCUGGGCACCCCACAGGGACCUCAUGGCCCACACUCUAACAUGGGCUUACAUGGAGAAAGCUAGUAAAAUCUAGGAAAAUGGUGAAAAAUACUUACAAACAUUUUUAUGUCUCACAAAUCCACAAAUCUUUGCUUGUUAUGGCAUAACCUAGGGUGCAAAAGGAAGGACAUUUUCAUACAUAAGACCAAACAUUUAUUAAGUAUUUUGAUGAAGGACCAGAUGAAGGCAAAAUAAAUCACCUCUAGUCUGUUUAUAAUCUACAACGAAGUUAGGUGAAUUUCACAGCCAUCUUAAUGACACCACAGAAAUGAUUAUUGAGACUGUCUAAAGAGUGAUAAAAGGAAAUUAAUUUGCAAAACACAUUAUUACUCACCUAGCAUUCUUAGAAUGACAGUAUUGAUUUGUUUGUUGUAGGUAGCUUUAAUAUUGUAUUUAUUUUUUAUUCUGGUAAAAUAUAGAUAUCAUAUAAUUUGUCAUUUUAACAGUUUUUAAGUGUCAAGUUCAUUGCUAUUACUGUGUAACCAUCACCACCAUCCAGAUUUAGAAUUUUCCAUCUUCUCAAAGUGAAAUUCUGUACCCAUCAAACACUAACUCCUCAUUUCCACUCCCUUCAACCCCUGGUAACUUCCUUUUUGCUUUCUGUCUUUAUGAAUUUGACUAUUCUGGAUACCUCACAUAUAAUGUUUAUCCUUUUGUGUCUGGCUUGUUUCACUUAGCAUAAUGUCAAGGGUCAUUCAUGUGGUAGCACAUGUCAGAUUUUCCUUCCUUUUUAAGGCUGAAUAAUAUCCCAUUAUAUGUAUUUACCACAUUUUGUUUAUCCAUUCAUCUGUCAAUGGACAUUUGGAUUGUUUUCACGUUUUGGCUAUUGUAAAUGAAGCUGCUAAGAACAUUGGAGUACAAAUAUUGUUCAAGUCCUCACUUUGCAUUCUUUUGAGUAAACACUCAGAAGAGGAAUUGCUGGAUUUUAUUGUAACUCUGUGGUUAAAAUCUUGAGGAACGGCCACACUGUUUUGUACAGAACCUGAACCAUUUUACAUGUCUACCAGCAAAGCACAAGGGUUGCUAUCUUAUAUUCUAUUGACUGUGAAAACACUUACUUCCUAAGAGUUUGCACACCCCCUCCCCACUACAUUUUCUCCACAUAGAUUCAGUUCUAGCCUUUUUUACUGGUCCAUUCUCAAGCUGCCAAUAAAGACGUACCCAAGUCUGGGUAAUUUAUAAAGAAAAGGUUUAACUGACUCACAGUUCCACAGUGCUGAGGAGGCCUCAGGAAACUUACAAUCACGGUGGAAGGAAAAGCAAACACAUCCUUCUUCACAUGGUGUCAUGAGGGAGAAGUGCUGAGUGAAGCAGGGAAAAGCCCAUUAUAAACCCAUCAGAUCUUGUGAGAACUCACUUACUAUCACAAGAAGAGCGUGAGGGUAACCACCCCCAUGAUUAAAUUACCUCCCACUGAGUCCCUCCCACAACAUGUGGGGAUCAUGGGAAAUACAAUUCAAGAUGAGAAGUGGGUAGGGACACAGCCAAACCGUAUCACCCUUAAACUACAAACUCACCUUGGCAGGUUGCCGAGUGGAGGGAUAUUCUAAAUGGGAUUUCUGUGAGACGGUAGAAAAUAAUAACAGAGCAUCUACACUUUUUCAAACAUUUUUUUUACAAAUAUUAUUUCAUUUAAUCAUCACAAUACUGUGAAGCAGGCAUCAUUAUCAUCACGAUUCUCAAUUGACAGGUAGGUUAUUGGAGGCUGAUUGGCUUACGUGACUUCCAAUGUGCUAUGGAGGUGCCCAGGGUGUAAAGUUCAACAGAUCUAUCUUGCUCUGCCGCUCUGAGCAGGCCUUUAGCAAAUACUGUGAUAAUUUGCUAAGGUAAGUACCUGCUUGUCCCCUGCAGCUGGGGUCCAUGACUGAGCCCCCCUACUGUGACAGCUGACUCACGCCUGGGUGGCUCGGAGUGUCUCUGUUUGCUGUAUAUGCAGCUAUUUGUAUUCAAUUACUAAAAAUUUAGUUCGUCUGUGAAAUAAUUGUCCAUCUCUCCCCCCAAAAAAGGCCAACUGCUAGUGCAGAUGAUGAAAAUGAUGAAAAAGUGAGACAAGCUAAGGCACGUAGGUUUCUUCGCCAGAAUAUAAAAGUGAGUAAACUAAAGAGAGAAAUGAAUUCAGCAGUGGCUGAGAUCUGAGGAAUGAACAAGUUCACCAAUUUCUCUCUACAGAAAUGAGAAAAAGACAUUUGUGAAACUGUUGCAAAUGAUCCAGCCAGUGAAAAAAUUGCUCAUCAAGUGAGAGAUAAGACUUAAGUGAAAACUGAAAAGGGGGUUAAUGUGUGGAGUGAGAACAUGCACAGGAAACACACGACUUAUGAUGGAAACGGGGCUCGGCAGGAAGCCCAGAUCCUGUACAAACAUUUCCAUGAAGCAGCAGAUGGGAAGGCUCCAGAGUGGCUCCUCAACCAACCUUUGCUGUGAGUGCAAUUGACUGGAAAACUUGAAGAAGCAUUUCUUUUUUUUUUUGGAUGAUGCAAAGUAACGAGGAGAAAUGGCACCCGUUAACCUCUUGGUUGAUGUCCAGUUUUCUUCUGCACUCAGAAGGAUCCUCAAGAGGAACGUGGUAGACCAGAAGAAGAGUCAGGCACUGCUUUAGACACCUCUAUUGGGGCCAAAGUGUCUUCUGAACACAGGUAUCCAGGAGGAAAACGAACUCUAAGAUUAAAGGCAGCCAAAGACAGAGUCUUCUAGACUUUGGGGACAUGGUGGGCUUUAAGGGGGAGCCACGUUUGCUGAACCAUUCUUUAAACCCCCAGACAUUUAGGAGUAAGGCUAAAAACUUCAUAGCCAUGUAGUAACAAUGUAGGAAAACAAUGUUGGGAUCAUGGCACAUUUCCUUUUGCCCAGGACAACUAUGUUGUCCGAGUAGAAUUUGGAUUUCUAAAGGUCUCAAGACCCUUGUCUCCUGCUGUAGCUGGGGAUGUGGAUCCUAAAAACACCCUGGUAAGAGGUGGGUGGGCCAUGCUUCAAACACAGAUAAACUUGACUCCAAAAUCUAGGCCCUUUUGACUCUUCUCUAUCAACUUUUUCAGACGUUGGUCAGGCAAACUUAUUCCCCAAGACCAUGGAAUUGGGGCUAAGAUUUAUGCAAAGGUCUAGAGUUCUUUUCUGGUCCCUCAGCCCUUCCUUCCCUCUACUCUACUGCUGGGGAGUUGUGGGCAGUUUGCUAAAUGGCACCUCCAUCUAGGCACAUCAUAUAUAAUAGAGCAAACUCUCAUAAUGUGAUAAGCUCCAUUUUGAUUUUAUAUGUUUUAAAGAUAUUUUUCUAUCAAUACCGUUCACAAUUUAAUUACAAUAAUUAACAUAGUUUUCCAAUAUUAUUUUUGCAUUUGAUUAUAUGCCUAAAAAUGUUGCAGCUGUGUUUACCUAUAUGCCUUUUGUCUUAGGCUUCAUUUAAAAUGAGAAGUAAAUAUCAUUUUUAUAUAUAGCUUUCCACUUGCUUUGUGAACUAUUUUCAUAAUACCCCAAUUUAGCCACAAACAUCCUCUGGUGUGCUCAGAUCUCUCC
This 16117-nucleotide long non-coding RNA is filed under the name Homo sapiens (human). Its description in RNAcentral is "HSALNT0026870". The record is from RNAcentral. Lineage: Eukaryota; Metazoa; Chordata; Mammalia; Primates; Hominidae.